GACGAACGCUGGCGGCGUGCUUAACACAUGCAAGUCGAACGGAAAGGCCCUGCUUUUGUGGGGUGCUCGAGUGGCGAACGGGUGAGUAACACGUGAGUAACCUGCCCUUGACUUUGGGAUAACUUCAGGAAACUGGGGCUAAUACCGGAUAGGAGCUCCUGCUGCAUGGUGGGGGUUGGAAAGUUUCGGCGGUUGGGGAUGGACUCGCGGCUUAUCAGCUUGUUGGUGGGGUAGUGGCUUACCAAGGCUUUGACGGGUAGCCGGCCUGAGAGGGUGACCGGCCACAUUGGGACUGAGAUACGACCCGGACUCCUCCGGGAGGCAGCGGUGGGGAAUAUUACACAAGGGGCGGAAGCCUGAUGCAGCAAAGCCGCGUGCGGGAUGACGGGCUUCGGGUUGUAAACCGCUUUCGCCUGUGACGAAGCGUGAGUGACGGUAAUGGGUAAAGAAGCACCGGCUAACUACGUG
This 468-nucleotide ribosomal RNA is filed under the name uncultured bacterium. Its description in RNAcentral is "partial 16S ribosomal RNA". It matches the Rfam family "Bacterial small subunit ribosomal RNA", at positions 28 to 507 of the family's 1533-position model. The record is from RNAcentral.